AUAACAGUUGGAAACGACUGCUAAUGCCCUAUAUGCCUUUAAGACAUAAGUCUGCAAGGGNAACGCUUUAGUGCUAGAGGAUGGGACUGUAUGGUAUCAGCUAGUUGGUGAGGUAAAGGCUCACCAAGGCAAUGACGCCUAACUGGUUUGAGAGGAUGAUCAGUCACACUGGAACUGAGACACGGUCCAGACUCCUACGGGAGGCAGCAGUGGGGNAUAUUGCACAAUGGAGGAAACUCUGAUGCAGCAACGCCGCGUGGAGGAUGACACUUUUCGGAGNGUAAACUCCUUU
RNAcentral lists this ribosomal RNA (292 nucleotides) under marine snow associated bacterium Adriatic77. RNAcentral's name for it is "partial 16S ribosomal RNA". It matches the Rfam family "Bacterial small subunit ribosomal RNA", at positions 143 to 436 of the family's 1533-position model. The record is from RNAcentral.